RNAcentral lists this ribosomal RNA (253 nucleotides) under uncultured bacterium. Its description in RNAcentral is "partial 16S ribosomal RNA". It matches the Rfam family "Bacterial small subunit ribosomal RNA", at positions 524 to 776 of the family's 1533-position model. RNAcentral also lists the same sequence under 1 other name. The record is from RNAcentral.
UACAGAGGUCCCAAGCGUUACUGAGAAUCACUGGGUUUAAAGGGUGCGUAGGUGGUCCGUUAAGUCAGUUGUGAAAUCCCCGGGCUCAACCCGGGAAAUGCUUCUGAUACUGGCGGACUUGAGGCCAGUAGGGGUCACUAGAACUGACGGUGGAGCGGUGAAAUGCGUAGAUAUCGUCAGGAAUGCCGGUGGUGAAGACGGGUGACUGGGCUGGUUCUGACACUGAGGCACGAAAGCGUGGGGAGCGAACGGG